AGUGAACGCUGGCGGUAGGCCUAACACAUGCAAGUCGAACGGCAGCACAGGAGAGCUUGCUCUCUGGGUGGCGAGUGGCGGACGGGUGAGGAAUACAUCGGAAUCUACUCUGUCGUGGGGGAUGACGUAGGGAAACUUACGCUAAUACCGCAUACGACCUACGGGUGAAAGCAGGGGACCUUCGGGCCUUGCGCGAUUGAAUGAGCCGAUGUCGGAUUAGCUAGUUGGCGGGGUAACGGCCCACCAAGGCGACGAUCCGUAGCUGGUCUGAGAGGAGGAUCAGCCACACUGGAACUGAGACACGGUCCAGACUCCUACGGGAGGCAGCAGUGGGGAAUAUUGGACAAUGGGCGCAAGCCUGAUCCAGCCAUACCGCGUGGGUGAAGAAGGCCUUCGGGUUGUAAAGCCCUUUUGUUGGGAAAGAAAUCCAGCUGGCUAAUACCCGGUUGGGAUGACGGUACCCAAAGAAUAAGCACCGGCUAACUUCGUGCCAGCCGCCGCGGUAA
Molecule: ribosomal RNA, 506 nt
Filed under: uncultured bacterium
Lineage: Bacteria
Description: partial 16S ribosomal RNA
Rfam family: Bacterial small subunit ribosomal RNA
Source: RNAcentral